CUUGGCAGGCCCCGGCUAAAUUUCUUCAGAAAUUUUGUUUUUCUAGUUUUUUUUAAUAUAUUAUUGAUAAAUGACUUCAUGUGCUGUGUCACCAGUCAUUGUCAAACAUUAAACUACAUAUUUUUCUUACUUUUUCCCAGAAAAAAAUAUUUAUUACAGUAUGUCAACUAUUGACAGCAAAGAGGGAAAUAAUUCUAAUAGAGUAAAUUAUUUUAUUUCAUUACAUAAGCUGCAUUAAUAUACUAUUUCAGAUUGAGAUAGAUUAAUCUUUAAUAUUUAUCUAAUAUUUCAGCUUCAUAAUUCUCUAAACAUCAUUUACGCUCUCUCAGUACCAAAAAUCACAGCCACUACACUCCUUAUUUAGUUGUACCGUUCUAAUCUUACACUCCAAACAGAAUGCUGGACCAAUCGUAAUUCUCUGUCUCCUGAAGCAACUCUCUGCUGACACAAUUCAUUUAUUUUCUAUGCAGUGCAUCUGGAAAGUAUUCACAGCAAUUACAUAUCUUAUGCUACAGUCUUAUUCUAAAUUGUAUUUAAUUCAUCUCUUUCCUCGAAAUUUUACACACAUAUCCCACUAUGACGAUGUGGAAAAACGUCAGCCGGAAAAGGCGCAGCGCUACUGUUUUACGGCGGCAGCUGUUUUGUGCUUGCUUUCGUUCCACCAUAGACCCCGGAACAAUUCCUGCACCGUAACGGUUGCUAUCCGGGCGUAUUAGUUGAGCACGCAUCCUGGCUGUCUGAGGUUUCCCUAGUCAACAGAAAAAUGCAGAACCCUCCAAAUCAAGAACUCAUCCACCCAUCCUGCCAUGACUGAAGCUGUGACUAGUGGCCCAAGUGGACCUUCAGGUGAUAAGCAGAUGGUGGUGGUUAAAGAAGAAGCUCCUGAAGACCCCACACCUUGUCCUGAUCUGCCUGACCCAAAGCUCCUCUACAGUCAUGGAAAAAUGUUUUGAGAAUGAUUCAAAUGUUAAUAUUUACAAAGUGUACUGCGUCAGUUUUUAUAACGGCAAUUUGCAUUUACUCUAGAAUGUUAUAAAGAGUGAUCAGCGUAACAGCAAUUAAUUGCAAAGUCAAUAUUUGCCUAGAAAAUGAACUUUAU
This is a long non-coding RNA of Xiphophorus maculatus (southern platyfish), 1099 nucleotides long. RefSeq lists it as uncharacterized. The record is from RefSeq and is a predicted model, not a curated record. NCBI's taxonomy places the organism in Eukaryota, Metazoa, Chordata, Actinopteri, Cyprinodontiformes, Poeciliidae. The transcript has 3 exons.